Molecule: long non-coding RNA, 724 nt
Organism: Neltuma alba
Lineage: Eukaryota; Viridiplantae; Streptophyta; Magnoliopsida; Fabales; Fabaceae
Exons: 2
Source: RefSeq, a predicted model, not a curated record
UCCCACAUCAUCUUUCUCUCAUUGGAUUCUUCUUCUCCAGGGUCUUCUUUGAGCGCAAUCAGUGGUCCCUUCUUAUGCAUUCAGCUGAGCAUCUCUGCUCUCCCUCUAUUUCUCUUCAUCUUCAAAUCUAAGCCCUUUCGAUUUGUUAUCGACGGCAAUCGAAGGAAGAUUCGUUUCGAGGCAACUGAGAAGUUCACGAAGCACAAUGAGAGAGGCAUUUGGUUCUUUCAAGAUUGAAUAUUGAGAUUGGAAGGAACAAAGAAAUAAAGAUGAACGAGAGUAAUGGAUGGAGACCAAUAUGAGCAGUGAUAAAUGGAGGAAGGUUAACGGACUUCCAUCUCACUUUACGAUAUAGGUUUCCAUUCAUCCUCUUCUGCAUCUUAUAAUAUUGUCAUGGAUUUUUAUCUAUGAGUUGUAAGAUACUUUCUUAUCUAUUAAUAAGAAACAAGACAAUGUCCUCGCAGUUUCCUUUUCUAAUCCAUCAUCAGGUUUGGUUUGCUGAUGGGGGAAGAUGAGAGGGAUGCAAAUUGGGAAAAUUUUUGCACUCCAUUUUCUUUUUUGAUUCAGAUUUUCCUUUUCCUAGUUUCUAAACUAUAUCAUUCAGUUGGGUUUAUUCUUAUCUUAUUAUUUUUUAUAUAUGAUUUAAAAGAGGAUUUAAUUGUUUCAAUCAUAUUAUUAUUUUUGAAGUGUAUAUUAAUCAUUGUCAUUGUAAUCAUUUCCUUCU